This 393-nucleotide ribosomal RNA is filed under the name uncultured bacterium. Its description in RNAcentral is "bacterial SSU rRNA". It matches the Rfam family "Bacterial small subunit ribosomal RNA", at positions 29 to 526 of the family's 1533-position model. The record is from RNAcentral.
AAUGAACGCUGGGGGUGUGCAUUACACAUGCGAGUCAACUUUUAGUGGCGAACGGGUGAGUACUGCAGGCAUCGUUGCCCGAUAGUCUAGAUUAAAUUCUAGAUAAAAAGAUUGAUCGCUGUUGGAUACGUCUGCGUAGGAUUAGAUAUUCAUGGAGAGUCGACGAUCCUUAAUUGAUCUGGGAAGGAUGCACAGUCACAUUGGAACUGAGACAAGGUCCAAGCUCCGUAGGAGGCAGCAGUGAGGAAUAUUGGGCAAUGGGCGAAAGCCUGACCCAACGACAUCCCUUAGUGAAGGAAGGCUAAGGUCGUAAAGCUAUGAGAUUAGCGAGGAUUAUGACGUCAGCUAUUCAAAAAGCCCCGGCUAACUCCGUGCCAGCCGCCGCGGUAAAAC